This 63-nucleotide transfer RNA is filed under the name Angiopteris lygodiifolia (turnip fern). RNAcentral's name for it is "partial tRNA-Ser". Lineage: Eukaryota; Viridiplantae; Streptophyta; Polypodiopsida; Marattiales; Marattiaceae. RNAcentral also lists the same sequence under 4 other names. The record is from RNAcentral.
AAAUGAUUCUUAUCUCUUUUUGGAGAGAUGGCCGAGAGGAUUAAAGCGUCGGAUUGCUAAUCC